RNAcentral lists this ribosomal RNA (301 nucleotides) under uncultured bacterium. Its description in RNAcentral is "partial 16S ribosomal RNA". It matches the Rfam family "Bacterial small subunit ribosomal RNA", at positions 509 to 809 of the family's 1533-position model. The record is from RNAcentral.
CAGCCGCCACGGUAAUACGAAGGGUGCAAGCGUUAAUCGGAAUUACUGGGCGUAAAGCGUGCGUAGGCGGUGAGUUAAGUCUGCUGUGAAAUCCCCGGGCUCAACCUGGGAAUGGCAGUGGAUACUGGCUCGCUAGAGUGUGUCAGAGGAUGGUGGAAUUCCCGGUGUAGCGGUGAAAUGCGUAGAGAUCGGGAGGAACAUCAGUGGCGAAGGCAGCCAUCUGGGAUAACACUGACGCUGAGGCACGAAAGCGUGGGGAGCAAACAGGAUUAGAGACCCCGGUAGUCCCUGUCUCUUAUAA